Molecule: ribosomal RNA, 264 nt
Filed under: uncultured Staphylococcus sp.
Lineage: Bacteria; Bacillati; Bacillota; Bacilli; Caryophanales; Staphylococcaceae
Description: partial 16S ribosomal RNA
Rfam family: Bacterial small subunit ribosomal RNA
Source: RNAcentral
CGUGACGGGUGAGUAACACGUGGGUAACCUACCUAUAAGACUGGGAUAACUUCGGGAAACCGGAGCUAAUACCGGAUAAUAUUUCGAACCGCAUGGUUCGAUAGUGAAAGAUGGUUUUGCUAUCACUUAUAGAUGGACCUGCGCCGUAUUAGCUAGUUGGUAAGGUAACGGCUUACCAAGGCGACGAUACGUAGCCGACCUGAGAGGGUGAUCGGCCACACUGGAACUGAGACACGGUCCAGACUCCUACGGGAGGCAGCAGAG